CACGUAGUUAGCCGGGGGCUUCUUAAUCAGGUACCGUCAUUUUCUUCCCUGCUGAUAGAGCUUUACAUACCGAAAUACUUCUUCACUCACGCGGCGUCGCUGCAUCAGGGUUUCCCCCAUUGUGCAAUAUUCCCCACUGCUGCCUCCCGUAGGAGUUUGGGCCGUGUCUCAGUCCCAAUGUGGCCGUUCACCCUCUCAGGCCGGCUACUGAUCGUCGCCUUGGUGAGCCAUUACCCCACCAACAAGCUAAUCAGACGCGGAACCAUCGUAUACCACCAGAGUUUUUCACACCACUUCAUGCGAAGCUGUGCGCUUAUGCGGUAUUAGCACCUAUUUCUAAGUGUUAUCCCCCAGUAUACGGCUAGGUUUUCCACGUCGUUACUCACCCGUCCGCCACUAACUCAUAAAUCACUAGGUUUCAAUAUGAGUCCGUUCGACUUGCAUGUGUUAAGCACGCCGCCAGCGUUCAUCCUGAGCCAGGACUACGAAACUCU
This 494-nucleotide ribosomal RNA is filed under the name uncultured Lachnospiraceae bacterium. Its description in RNAcentral is "partial 16S ribosomal RNA". The record is from RNAcentral. Lineage: Bacteria; Bacillati; Bacillota; Clostridia; Lachnospirales; Lachnospiraceae.